CGCCCCUGGGAUUAUGAGUGAGGCAGUGACAUCCCCCCUGCCCCCCGCCCGCUCCCUCUCCCCCAAGACCCUUGAGGCCAGGUCGUUCGGUGGUGCAUCACAGCGUCACAGACUCACAGAUGGCGCGUAGCUGAGGCAGCGACGCGUGGACGGCGCUGAUGGCGGCCAGAACCUCUUGGGCGUCUUGGUCACACACGGCCAGGCGGAGCCCCACCAGGCCCCGGCACUCCUGCAGCAGCUGUGUGCCGGCACCACUUAGGUGACCCGUGAACCAGUGAAGAAGCAGUUGACCAAAAUAAUAAUGUCAGAAGUAAGAGUAAGCUGUGAAGGAAGAACAUCUGUCAUAAAGUGUUACUGGAGGCACGAAAAUGUCAAAGAAGUGCAAAGACAAUUCAGAAGACACUUUGACAGGGAUCCACCAAGGCGACACAGCUAAUACCGAACGGCCUGGAAACACUGAGCCAAAGGGACGCCGCUCAGUCUGCAGCCAGUGUGGCGGCGUAUCUUGUGUGGUGCGCGUGUGUAUCGCAUUGUGUUCCUCCUCAAAGACUUGGUGGUGGUCAAGAUAACCAGGAUUGGCCAAGCCCUCCCUGAAGUGUGCUACCAGUAGUGUACCAGAAACAGUUGGGCAAAAUAAUAAUGUCAGAAGUAAGAGUAAGCUGUGAAGGAAGAACAUCUGUCAUAAAGUGUUACUGGAGGCACGAAAAUGUCAAAGAAGUGCAAAGACAAUUCAGAAGACACUUUGACAGGGAUCCACCAAGUACCGAACGGCCUGGAAACACUGAGCCAAAGGGACGCCGCUCAGUCUGCAGCCAGUGUGGCGGCGUAUCUUGUGUGGUGCGCGUGUGUAUCGCAUUGUGUUCAUCCUUAAAGACUUAGUGGUGGUCAAGAUAACCAGGAUUGGCCAAGCCCUCCCUGAAGUGUGCUACCAGUAGUGUACCAGAUUUGCAUCAAUAACGACCACCACCACCACCACCACCACCACCACCACCAGCAUGUCAGUAGUAGCAGGAGUAGUGAAUGGUCACUCGUAUGUGGUGACUACUUGGACUAUCAGGCCGCCCUUGUAGUGUGCUGGACUAUCGGUCAACAAUGAGCCGAGAAAGUUACGUGGUACAACUAUUUCGGCGAUAGUAGUGGCUGUAAGUAGUAGUAGUAGUUGUAGUAAUAGUAGUUGUAAUAGUAGUUAUGCGUGUAAUGUCAAUAUGGUUCAUUUUGUAACUGUAAUUGGAAAGAUUCUCGACUUUAUGUUUCUUAAAGGCGUGACGUAAUUACAGAAAACGUAUGUAUUUUAAGGCACACUAGCCUGUACUUCAUUAUUCCUGUUUAUUGCUAUUAUAUUAUAUUUUUGAUAGUUUUUCUUGUAUAUACUAUUUAAAUCUACUAUUCUGUGAUGUUUAAUACUACUACUUAUUAUGUUUAAGUGGGAGAAGUCAGAGAAAGAGCUAUAUUUAUAAUUUUUUUACUUUUAAGGUCAAUAUGGUCCAUUUUAUUAAGUAAAUUUGUAGGAUGCUUGACCUUGUUUCUUAGAUAAGUGACGUAAUUAGAGAAAACGUAUGUUUUUUAAGGGACACUAACCUAUAACCUAUACUUCAUUAUUCCUGGUUAUUAUUAUAUUAGAGAGAGAGAGAGAGAGAGAGAGAGAGAGAGAGAGAGAGAGAGAGAGAGAGAGAGAGAGAGAGAGAGGAGGAUUUAGUAUGUCUUCUAUAUAUGUGUGUUUUCAUUAUCAUCAUCAUCUUAUUCUUUUCUUCUUCUUCUUCUUGUUAUUAUUAUUGUUAUUAUUAUCAUUAUUGUUAUUAUUAUUACUAUACACACACACUCAAACACACAGUAGUAGUAGUAAUUAUAAUAGGAAGAAGAGAAACAUGAUGAUGAUGAUGAUAAGGAGGAGGAGGAGCAGGAGGAGAAGGAAGAAGAAAAAUUGUUCUACUUUUCUGUAAUAUAUUUCUAAAUAACUAUAAGUGGAAAAGCAGAACUAAUAGUGCACCAUGAUAGUCCAUUAAAUUGUUCACAUCUGACUAUCGCCAUCAUCAAUUACAAAUUAGUUAAAAAAAAUGAAAAAUAUACAGCAAUUCUAAUUUUGAGGCACCUAAAUAGUUUCAACAUUUUUCACAAUAUCUAAAUAACUAACAGACGAAAACAAAAUGUAGCAGUACACCAUGAUAGUCCAUUAAAUUCCUCAUCUCUGACUAUCACCAUCACCAAUUACAAGUUAGUUAAUAAAGAGAAAAAUUGAAAAAAAAAUAUAUAUAGCAUAUCAAAUUCUAAGACACGCAGAUACUUUCAACAUUUUUCUGAAUAUCUAAAUAACUACCGCCAAAGAAACAAAACCAAUAGUACACCAUGAUAGCCCAUUAAAUUCCCCACAAUUUCCUAUCAACACUAUUCAAAAAGUAUAUUAAAAAAAAAACAUGAAAACAAAAAAACACUUCAAAAACUCCCAAAAGACACUGAACAAAGAUCAAGAUUCAAGAUUGUAAACAUAGGACGGAGCCUGUAUACAGAGGAGCUAGCAGCCAGGAUGAGAAGAAUGAAUGUAGGGGUAAGUGUGGGGAAUGAUAAAGUAUGUGUGCUCCUUUAUGCAGAUGAUGUAGUUGUUAUGAGUGAAUCAGCAGAUGAGCUUCAAAGUUUGUUGGAUGUAGUGGAUGGCUAUGGUAAAGACUUUGGAGUAAGGUUUAGCAGUGAGAAAAGCAAAGUAAUGAUUGUGAAUAGGUCAGAGGAUGAAAGUAAUGUGGUAUGGAGACUUGGAGAGAAUGAGUUGAGACAGGUGCAAGAAUACAAGUACUUAGGGAUGUGGAUGAGUCCUAGUGGGUGUGCAAAGGCAAAGAAUGAAAAGAUAAGUAUGGUAAACCAGUGGGUAGGUCGAUUGGGAAGCGCGGCAAGGAUGAGAGCAAGUAAGUAUGAUGUGUUGAGAGAAGUGUGGAAGAGUGUGGCUGUGCCAUGUAUAAUGUAUGGUAUGGAUGUGAUUGCAUGGAAUGAAAGCGAAAUUGAUAAGUUAGAAGUGGGCCAGAAUAGAGUAGCAAGGAUGGCACUGAGUGCACCGAGGUGCACAGCAGUUGAAGCCUUGAGAGGUGACAUGGGAUGGAGCACCUUCAGAGAAAGACUGACAAAAGCUACACUUAGGUACAAGAUUAGGCUUGAGAGAAUGGAUGAUGCAAGAAUAGCAAGAAAGGUGUACCUGUGGAAUGAAAGUGGAAGCAAAUGGAGGAAGAGAUGCAUGAGAAUGACAGACAGGAAUGGAUUGCAAGUUGUGUGGGCGAUAAGAAUGGCUGGGAGGAAUCAAAAUGAGCGUGAAUGGGUGGUAACAAGAGGAGGAAGAGUGGGAGCCGAAUGGGAUGUGAGAAAAUGGAAGAAUGAGAUAGACAAAGAAGUGAAAUGUGUGGGACUGAAUGAAUGGAAGACUGAGAUGGAAAGAAAGAAGACCCUGGAAUGGUACAAGGAGAAAGAGGCCCCGAGGUAUGAAAGGUGGUAUGAUGGAAGCCUGGGCGGUGAUCUUCUCUUCCGAGCGAGGGCACAGUGUAUGGAUGUGAAUGCAAGGAGUUACAGGUGGUCUGAGUCCCGCAGCAAAGUGUGCCAGAUGCGUGACAUGGGAGAGGAUGAGACAGUGGAACAUGUGGUGCUGGAGUGUGUGAAGUAUGCCAGAGACAGGAAUGAGAUGAUGCAAGUGAUACUGACUGAGUUAGGGCAUGAUAGGAAUGAAAGAGUGGAGAACACAGGAAAAGAAUGGAUGGUGUUGUUGCUGGGACUGUGUAGAGAGGCGAAUGAAAGGAUGAUUGAGGCGGUGAAAGAGUUUCUGGAGAGAAUGUGGCGUGCCAGGUGUAUGAACAAUUAGGAUAGAGGAUGCUGUUCGUUUCUCUCUUUUUUUUUUUUUUUUUCCCUUUCUACAGGAGUUGCCGAUCCAAAGGCCUGGCUCAGGAGUGAUCCUGUGCCACCUGUACCAUCAAGAUCAAGAUCAAGAUGGUGAGUCUGCGUACAAAAUUGCAUCGGAGGGGUUGGUAGAGGCAGCCACAAUUAUCCAUCAUCAUCGGCGACACCAUGGCUCUUGAGAAGACCUCCUCUUCUCUCUUCCCAUCUCUUCCUCCUCCUAGCCCAACCAAGCCUAAUUCUCUCUCUCUCUCUCUCUCUCUCUCUCUCUCUCUCUCUCUCUCUCUCUCUCUCUCUCUCUCUCUCUCUCUCUCUCUCUCUCUCUCUCUCUCUCUCUCUCUCUCAGACAGACAGACCUCAAUGACAGCGUGGUGAGCGAGGAGGGGGAGUCAACCAGCAGAGUAGGGGAGCAUGACCCCUACUUUGAACCAGUGGUGACCUUGCUGGAGGUCUUCGUGGUUAGUGAUGAUGACCAGGAGGAGGAAAUGAUGAGACUGAGUUUCGAGAUCAGGCAGUACAAGCUGUUUCGUUAUCACACCUCUGAGUCGCCCCCACAGUGGAAGGAACGGGGCAUGGGGGCCAUUAACAUUCUGAGGAACAAGCAGAAGAAGGCUGUGGAGUUUGUUCAGCAGCAGAAUUAAUGCCAGUGGUUGAGUUCAGAUCCUCCAAGACACACACACACACACACAGCAGCCCCUCCACCUCCCCACAGCCCUCCACAGCCCCUGACAUAGCAUCUGACACAGCCCCUUCACAGAACACCACAUACCUCACACAUACAUAAGAACAUAAGAACAUAAGAAAUAAGGGAAGCUGCAAGAAGCGACCAGGCUUACACGUGGCAGUCCCUGUAUGAAAUAUACCUACCUAUUUCCAUCUGUUAUCCCCAUCCAUAAACUUGUCUAAUCUUCUCUUAAAGCUCUCUAGUGUCCUAGCACUAACAACAUGAUUACUGAGUCCGUUCCACUCAUCUACCACUCUUUUUGAGAACAAUUUUUUUCCUAUCUCCAUCCUAAACCCAAAUUUUUCAAGCUUGUACCCAUUAUUUCUUGUUCUACCCUGGUUGCUGAUCCUAAGAAUUUUGCCUACAUCCCCCUUGUUAUAACCCUUAUACCACUCAAAGACUUCUAUCAGGUCCUCUCUUAACCAACGUAUCUCUAAAGAAUGUAAAUUUAACAGCUUCAACCUCGCCUCAUAAGGAAUACUCCUCAUCCCCUGUAUCCUUUUAGUCAUUCUCCUCUGUAGUGAUUUUAAUAGACCUAUAUCUUUCCUGUAAUGUGGGGACCAGAACUGCACAGCGUAGUCUAGAUGAGGUCUGACCAGCGCCAAGUAUAACUUUAAUAUUACUUCCGGCCUUCUACUUUUAACACUCCUAAAAAUCACACACACCACAGGAGCCUCACAAACAGUCUCACAGCCUUCACAAGCAGCCCCACACUCCACCACAGACACACCAGACCCACAGCCCUUCAUCUCACCCACUUCCCAGCCCCCCACAGCCCCCCGGCCACCACAGAUGAAGUCAAAGGGAGGGACUGUGGCUUCACCCAGCCAGCCAGGACAGCCUACAGAGAGGGGGUAGUCCCAGUCAAGUCACAAAAUAUAGGCUUGGUUCUUCCUACAGUUUGAAGUCAAUGAUUGGACAGGCCAGACAGCUUAGUGGCAGAGCUGCAGGUGGUCCUCGUCAGCUUCCUGGUGGCACAGGUGUAGGAUGGCUGGGAGCAGUGGAGGUGCCUGAUGGGGCAGCUGUGCCGGGCAGAGGGGCUGCUACUGCUGCUGCUGCUGCUGCUGCUGCUGCUGCUGCUGGGGAAGAGCCACACUUGUAUGACCCAUGGUUACUGACCUCGACUCAAACACCAUCGUGGCACUCUCUUCCCUGUUAAACUUGCCGGGAUCCAUUGUAAUGUAAGGGGUAUUGAAUGUGAGCGAUGAAACAAGAAGGUAGUGGCAAGGGGGAAAUGUACAGGGGAGCGCAGGAGAGACGCCUCUCUCCACUGUGCCUGACAGUCUCUCAGUGAUUGAAAGACUGAGCAUAACAUCUUCAGGGCACGUGGUAACACGGAGAGGAAGUGGAAGAAAGCUUGGAACGCUCCCAUAACUCAGGAGCAAGAGGUACACCAUACUGGAACCUUGUGACUGACAGAUCUCACUUGUGUUGGCUAACAUUCUGUCUGCAAUCAGUCCGGUAGUGCCAUGUUGCAGGCUCUGACGUCAGGAAGAGCCAAAUGGAGGGUGUGUCUACAGCCAGUACUGGGUGUGCUGCUGCUGUACAAGUGCCCCAAGCCAGCUGACUCCACCAGUGUAUUAUCUAGUCCAGGUUGCAUUGCUGUGUGUAUGACUUGUAUGUCUUUGCCAAUAAAUAAAUUUGUGACUACUAUUAUAUAUGUGAAAUAAAUAUAUAGUUUGCUAACAACAAUGUGCUGGUAUAGUGUAAAAUAAAUAUUUGGUGGUAACAAUUCAUGCCCUCAAGGUAAUAAAAAAAAAGUGCCAGGAUUGGCCCAAGGCCCAAAAAUAAAGUUUAAGGUAUGAUUUGCACAGAAGCCCCAUCCCAACGACACCAGUUGCUGGGACAGGGCUUCUAUGCGUUUUUUUUCAGGGCAUGACCUGUACUCUGCCUGAAACUUUAUUUACACAAGAUGGAAUACUGAAUGUUUAUUGUUUUACUGUGAAUGUUAAGUGAAUAAAUACACAACAGGAUAAUAAACAUG
Scylla paramamosain (green mud crab) is the source of this 6572-nucleotide RNA transcript. RefSeq lists it as uncharacterized. The record is from RefSeq and is a predicted model, not a curated record. NCBI's taxonomy places the organism in Eukaryota, Metazoa, Arthropoda, Malacostraca, Decapoda, Portunidae. The transcript is spliced from 14 exons.